UGGGGAUGACGUCAAGUCAGCAUGGCCUUUAUGUCCAGGGCUACACACACGCUACAAUGGUCUGUACAGUGGGUAGCCAAGCCGCGAGGCGGAGCCAAUCCUGAAAGCAGGCCUCAGUUCAGAUUGCAGUCUGCAACUCGACUGCAUGAAGCCGGAGUUGCUAGUAACCGCAGGUCAGCAAUACUGCGGUGAAUACGUUCCCGGGUCUU
RNAcentral lists this ribosomal RNA (209 nucleotides) under uncultured Anaerolineaceae bacterium. RNAcentral's name for it is "partial 16S ribosomal RNA". It matches the Rfam family "Bacterial small subunit ribosomal RNA", at positions 1174 to 1382 of the family's 1533-position model. Lineage: Bacteria; Bacillati; Chloroflexota; Anaerolineae; Anaerolineales; Anaerolineaceae. The record is from RNAcentral.